Molecule: long non-coding RNA, 699 nt
Organism: Felis catus (domestic cat)
Lineage: Eukaryota; Metazoa; Chordata; Mammalia; Carnivora; Felidae
Exons: 2
Source: RefSeq, a predicted model, not a curated record
UCUGGUCUGAUUGCUUGUGUUUCAUUUGUGAAAUCAUAAAAGGUGUUGCCUGCAUAUGAUAAUGGGAGUGGUCAUGGCAGCAUCCUGAGAAGAGCAGCAAAGAUGUGACUUUGAGGUCUUGGAGGAGGCAAGCAUGUUGACCAGGGUACGGAAGGACCCGUGCAGCCCAGAGAACAUCUGAGAAGAGAAAGCAGUCGUGCUGAAGACUUCUGACUGAUUAAUAUGGCUAAAGCCUGUGGACACAGCUGCUUAUAUCUCCAGUUCACACUUCCUUACCAACUCCUCAGCAUAGUCUUCUUGAUAGUGCAAUGCUCUGGUUCUGCUCUCUGCUGCGCUAGUGGAAUCUGGCACCAACUACAUGCACAGGAACUGCAGAUUAUAUAACACAAGGGAUUACAGCGUGUUUCGUGGACACAAAGUGUCCUGUAGUUGGAAUGGAGAUGAUCUAGGCCAUGCUCUGUAACCUGCUGAGGAAGCCAUGGAGAACCGUAGGGAUGGACAAAGUUGCCUAAGACUUAGUACCAUAUUACUGCAGAGCUAAGACCAUAAUCUAAGGCUCAUGGGUCUCAUUCUAGUGCUAUGGAUGUGUAUUUAUUUUACUAACUAAUUGUGAAAGAAAAAUUAGAAAAUCCAGAUGAGUGGAAAAAAAAAAAAAAACAUGGUAUACAUGAGACUUUUCCCACCAAGAGAAAGUCACCA